GAUCCAGCCAUGCCGCGUGUGUGAAGAAGGUCUUCGGAUUGUAAAGCACUUUAAGUNNNAGGAAGGGUUGUAGAUUAAUACUCUGCAAUUUUGACGUUACCGACAGAAUAAGCACCGGCUAACUCUGUGCCAGCAG
This 136-nucleotide ribosomal RNA is filed under the name Pseudomonas sp. RNAcentral describes it as "partial 16S ribosomal RNA". It matches the Rfam family "Bacterial small subunit ribosomal RNA", at positions 385 to 514 of the family's 1533-position model. The record is from RNAcentral. Lineage: Bacteria; Pseudomonadati; Pseudomonadota; Gammaproteobacteria; Pseudomonadales; Pseudomonadaceae.